UGUGCCGGUGGCGGGCGGGGUGUGCGGCGUGGUCCCCCCGCCCMCCCGCGCCGCCUGCGUCCUGCCCCGAGGGGGGGCGGGAAACCCUGCGAGUCCGUCGGCCGUACUGGGGAUAGAUGCUUGCAACUGUCCGCCUUGAACGAGGAAUGCCUAGUAGGCUGGGGUCAUCAGCCCCAACCGAUUGCGUCCCUGCCAUUUGUACACACCGCCCGUCGUUGCUACCGAUGGGGGCCGGAUAGAGCCCCCCGGAGGCCCCCCCCGCCCCCCCUCCGCCCCCGCCCGCCCCUUCGCCCCCUCCCCCGUCCGGGGCGCGGGGGGAGCAGGGGCGCGGUGCGGGCGCGGGGGACGGACGGCCGAAACCGGGCGAUGCCCCGCCCCUAGAGGAAGCAAAAGUCGUAACAAGGUUGUUGUAGGUGAACCUGCAGCAGGAUCAU
This 434-nucleotide ribosomal RNA is filed under the name Euglena velata. Its description in RNAcentral is "partial 18S ribosomal RNA". It matches the Rfam family "Eukaryotic small subunit ribosomal RNA". The record is from RNAcentral. Lineage: Eukaryota; Euglenozoa; Euglenophyceae; Euglenales; Euglenaceae.